AGGGCACACGGAGGAUGCCUAGGUAAUAACAGCCGAUGAAGGACGUGAUAAGCUGCGAUAAGUCAGGUCGAGAUGCACAUAAUCAAUGACACCUGAAUCUCCGAAUGGGGCAACCCGCAUACUUGAAGAGUAUGCACGAAAGUGGUAAGCCUGCGAACUGAAACAUCUAAGUAGCAGGAGGAAAAGAAAGUAAAAACGAUUCCCUAAGUAGCGGCGAGCGAACGGGGAAAAGCCUAAACCGUGCCAGUGUCAAGCGGACAGCGUUGCUGGCACGGGGUUGCGGGACUUCCAUUAACGGAUUGUCAUAAUGUUUAAUCUGUAUAUGUGUAAGUGGAAUCAGCUGGGAAGCUGAACCAGAGAAGGUGAAAGUCCUGUAGAACAUAAAGCAUAUAUGGAGACUGGAAGCACCCGAGUAGCGUCAGGCACGAGGAAUCUGGCGUGAAUCAGCGUGGACCAAAUCACGUAAGGCUAAAUACUGUUGUUGACCGAUAGUGAAGAGUACCGUGAGGGAAAGGUGAAAAGAACCCUGAGCAAGGGAGUGAAACAGAAUUUGAAACCGUGUGCUUACAAACGGUAGGAGCACAUUAUGUGUGACUGCGUGGAUUUUGGUUAAUCAUCCUGCGAGUUAUGGCUGGUGGCAAGGUUAAUAGACGGAGCCGAAGGGAAACCAAGUCUUAAUAGGGCGUCAAGUCGCCAGUCAUAGACGCGAAACCUAGUGAUCUAGGCCUGUCCAGGCUGAAGCUGAGGUAAGACUCAGUGGAGGGCCGAACUCACCGCCGUUGAAAAGUUGGGAGAUGAGAUAGGUCUAGGGGUGAAAAGCCAAUCGAACUAGGAGAUAGCUCGUUCUCUCCGAAAUGCAUUUAGGUGCAGCCUUAAUUUUAAGAUAUGUGGGGGUAGAGCACUGUAUGAUCUAGGGGGCGUAUUGCUUACCGAAAUCAAGCAAACUACGAAUACCAUAUAUUAAUGAUUAGGAGUGAGUCUAUGGAUGAUAAGGUCCGUGGACAAAAGGGGAACAGCCCAGACCACCAGCUAAGGUCCCUAAUUAUGUCUAAGUGGGAAAGGAGGUGGAUAUUCACAGACAACCAGGAGGUUGGCUUAGAAGCAGCCAUACCUUAAAAGAGUGCGUAAUAGCUCACUGGUCGAGAGUAUCUGCGCCGAAGAUGUAACGGGGCUAAAGACAUAAACCGAAGCUGUGGAAGCGGUUUUGCCGCUUGGUAGGAGAGCGUUCUGUAGGUCUAUGAAGGCCGGCUGUAAGGCCGGCUGGAGACAUCAGAAGCGAGAAUGCAGGAAUGAGUAGCGAGAAGGAGGGUGAGAAUCCCUCCGGCCGGAAGUCCAAGGUUUCCGGGGGAAGGUUCGUCCGCCCCGGGGAAGUCGGGACCUAAGCGUAAGCAGAGAUGUGAUUGCGAAUGGUAAAUAGGUUAAUAUUCCUAUACCACUAUCAGUCGUUUGAGUGAUGGAGUGACGCAGUAAGGUAUGUGAGAAGGCUGUCGGAUUAGCCUUUCUAAGGGCGUAGCUUGGACACGCAGGUAAAUCCGCGUGUCUAUAGGUGAGACCUGAUGGGUAAGUGCUUUUGCAUAAGUCACAGAUCCUACACUGCCAAGAAAAACUUCUAACAAGACUCGUUAGUGCCCGUACCCUAAACCGACACAGGUGGACAGAGUGAGAAACUUAAGGCCGACAGGAUAACUCUAGCUAAGGAACUCUGCAAAAUAGCCCCGUAACUUCGGGAGAAGGGGUGCCUGACAUACCUGAAGGAGAGAAGCGCUCCCAGGGGAAACAGGCCGCAGUGAAGAGUCUCAAGCAACUGUUUACCAAAAACACAGGUCUAUGCUAAGCUGAAAGGCGACGUAUAUGGGCUGACACCUGCCCAGUGCCGGAAGGUUAAGAGGAGGAGUGAGAGCUCCGAUUUGAAGCCCCGGUGAACGGCGGCCGUAACUAUAACGGUCCUAAGGUAGCGAAAUUCCUUGUCGGGUAAGUUCCGACCUGCACGAAUGGUGAAAUGAUUUGAGAGCUGUCUUGGCUGGAGACCUGGUGAAGUUGUAAUGCCGGUGAAGAUACCGGCUACCUGCAGUAGGACGGAAAGACCCCGUGGAGCUUUACUGUAGCUUGGCAUUGGGUU
RNAcentral lists this ribosomal RNA (2119 nucleotides) under human oral metagenome. RNAcentral describes it as "bacterial LSU rRNA". It matches the Rfam family "Bacterial large subunit ribosomal RNA", at positions 14 to 2123 of the family's 2925-position model. The record is from RNAcentral.